CUACGGGGCGCAGCAGUCGCGAAAACUCCGCAAUGCACGAAAGUGUGACGGGGCUACCCCGAGUGCCAUCCGCUGAGGAUGGCUUUUCUUUGGUAUAACUAGCCAUGGGAAUAAGGAGAGGGCAAGACUGGUGUCAGCCGCCGCGGUAAUACCAGCUCUCCGAGUGGUAGGGAUGAUUAUUGGGCUUAAAGCGUCCGUAGCCGGCUUAGCAAGUUUCCUGUUAAACUCAGCGACUCAAUCGUUGGAUCGCGGGAAAUACUACUAGGCUAGGAGGCGGGAGAGGUCAACGGUACUUCUGGGGUAGGGGUGAAAUCCUAUAAUCCCGGGAGGACCACCAGUGGCGAAGGCUGUUGACUAGAACGCGCUCGACGGUGAGGGACGAAAGCUGGGGUAGCAAACCGGAUUAGAUACCCCAGUAGUC
This 421-nucleotide ribosomal RNA is filed under the name uncultured archaeon. RNAcentral's name for it is "partial 16S ribosomal RNA". It matches the Rfam family "Archaeal small subunit ribosomal RNA", at positions 323 to 746 of the family's 1478-position model. The record is from RNAcentral.